RNAcentral lists this non-coding RNA (45 nucleotides) under Schistosoma margrebowiei. Lineage: Eukaryota; Metazoa; Platyhelminthes; Trematoda; Strigeidida; Schistosomatidae. The record is from RNAcentral.
AUCCAGCUGACGAGUCCCAAAUAGGACGAAAUGAGAAUCCUGGGU